GGUGUGCUCCGCAGUGCCCCAGAUAUGCCCAGGUGUGCUCAGGUGAGCCCAGGUAUGCCCAGUUGUGCUCCAGGUGUGCUCAGGUGUGUCCAGGUGUGCCCCAGGUGUGCCCAGCAGUGCUCAGGUGUGCUCAGGUAUUCCCAGGUGUGGUCAGGCGUGCCAUGGUGUGCCCCAGGUGUGCCCAGCAGUGCUCAGGUAUUCCCACGUGUGGUCAGGUGUGCCAUGGUGUGCUCAGGUGUGUCCAGGUGUGCCCAGGUAUGCUCAGGUGUGCUCAGGUGUGCCCAGGUGUGCCCCAGGUGUGCCCAGCAGUGCUCAGGAGUGCUCAGGUGUGCCCACGUGUGCUCAGGCGUGCCCAGCAGUGCCCAGGUAUGCCCAGCUGUGCCCAGGUGUGCUCAGGAAUGCCCAGGUGUGCCCAGGUGUGCUCAGGAAUGCCCAGGUGUGCCCAGGUGUGCUCAGAUGUGCCCAGCAGUGCUCAGGUGUGCCCAGAAGUGCUCAGGUGUGCCCAGGUGUGCUCAGGCGUGCCCAGCAGUGCCCAGGUAUGCCCAGGUGUGCUCAGGUGUGCCCCAGGUGUGCUCAGGUAUUCCCAGGUGAGUCCAGGUAUGCCCAGGUGUGCCCAGCAGUGCUCAGGAAUGCCCAGGUGUGUCCAGGUGUGCCCAGAUGUGGUCAGUUGUGCCCCAGGUGUGCCCAGGUAUGCCCAAGAGUGCUCAAGUGUCUCCAGGUGUGCUCAGGUAUGCCCAGGUGUGUCCAGCAGUGCUCAGGUGUGCCCAGGUAUACCCAGGUGUGCUUAGGCGUGCCCAGGUGUGCCCAGGUGUGCCCAGGUAUGCCCAGGUGUGCUCAGGUGAGCCAAGAUGUGUUAAGGAAUGCUCAGGUGUGCUCAGGCGUGCCCCAGGUGUGCUCAGGUGUGCCCAGGUGAGCCCAGGUAUGCCCAGGUGUGCUCAAGAGUGCCCAGGAGGUGCUCAGGUGUGCCCAGCAGUGCUCAGGUGUGCUCAGAUGUGCCCAGCAGUGCUCAGGUGUGCCCAGCAGUGCUCAGGUGUGCUCAGAUGUGCCCAGGUGUGCCCAGCAGUGCUCAGGUGUGCCCAGGUGUGCUCAGAUGUGCCCAGCAGUGGUCAGGUGUGCCACGGUGUGCUCAGGCGUGCCCAGGUGUGCUCUGGUGUGCCCAGGUGUGCCAUGGUGUGCCCAGGUGUGCCAUGGUGUGCCCAGGUGUGCCCCAGGUGUGCCCAGGUAACAGCGGUGCCAUCGGUGCUCUGGUGCAGCCCCGCCCACUGCCUCCAGAUUGGCUGCUGGCUCGCUGGCCCCGCCCCCGCCAGGGUUCUCCCAGCAAUGGCAAUGCUUCCUCAUUAGCAUAAACCGUCUUCCUCAUUAGCAUAAACCCUGCUUCCUCAUUAGCAUAAACCCGGCUUCCUCAUUAGCAUAAACCCCACCCAUGCACCUUGAUCCCGCCCCCUUUGGGAUCCAGGGGCUCCCCUCCCCCAUGGGCCUUGUGCCCCAAAAAUGUCGGGGUCCCACCCCACAAAUUUUGGGGUCCUGACCCCACAAGUGUUGGGGUCCUGCCCCACAAAUUUUGGGGUC
This is a long non-coding RNA of Lonchura striata (white-rumped munia), 1569 nucleotides long. The record is from Ensembl. NCBI's taxonomy places the organism in Eukaryota, Metazoa, Chordata, Aves, Passeriformes, Estrildidae.